RNAcentral lists this ribosomal RNA (433 nucleotides) under uncultured bacterium. RNAcentral's name for it is "partial 16S ribosomal RNA". It matches the Rfam family "Bacterial small subunit ribosomal RNA", at positions 29 to 507 of the family's 1533-position model. The record is from RNAcentral.
AACGAACGCUGGCGGCAUGCCUAACACAUGCAAGUCGAACGAGACCUUCGGGUCUAGUGGCGCACGGGUGCGUAACGCGUGGGAACCUGCCCUUAGGUUCGGAAUAACUCCCCGAAAGGGGUGCUAAUACCGGAUAAUGUCUUCGGACCAAAGAUUUAUCGCCUUUGGAUGGGCCCGCGUUGGAUUAGCUAGUUGGUAGGGUAAAAGCCUACCAAGGCGCCGAUCCAUAGCUGGUCUGAGAGGAUGAUCAGCCACACUGGGACUGAGACACGGCCCAGACUCCUACGGGAGGCAGCAGUGGGUAAUAUUGGACAAUGGGCGAAAGCCUGAUCCAGCAAUGCCGCGUGAGUGAUGAAGGCCUUAGGGUUGUAAAGCUCUUUUACCCGGGAUGAUAAUGACAGUACCGGGAGAAUAAGCUCCGGCUAACUCCGUG